This 492-nucleotide ribosomal RNA is filed under the name uncultured bacterium. RNAcentral describes it as "partial 16S ribosomal RNA". It matches the Rfam family "Bacterial small subunit ribosomal RNA", at positions 29 to 507 of the family's 1533-position model. The record is from RNAcentral.
AGUGAACGCUGGCGGUAGGCCUAACACAUGCAAGUCGAACGGCAGCACAGUAAGAGCUUGCUCUUACGGGUGGCGAGUGGCGGACGGGUGAGGAAUACAUCGGAAUCUACUUUUUCGUGGGGGAUAACGUAGGGAAACUUACGCUAAUACCGCAUACGACCUACGGGUGAAAUCAGGGGAUCUUCGGACCUUGCGCGAUUGAAUUAGCCGAUGUCGGAUUAGCUAGUUGGCGGGGUAAAGGCCCACCAAGGCGACGAUCCGUAGCUGGUCUGAGAGGAUGAUCAGCCACACUGGAACUGAGACACGGUCCAGACUCCUACGGGAGGCAGCAGUGGGGAAUAUUGGACAAUGGGCGCAAGCCUGACCCAGCCAUACCGCGUGGGUGAAGAAGGCCUUCGGGUUGUAAAGCCCUUUUGUUGGGAAAGAAAAGAAGCAGGUUAAUACCCCGCUGUUCUGACGGUACCCAAAGAAUAAGCACCGGCUAACUUCGUG